This 357-nucleotide unclassified non-coding RNA is filed under the name Bombus terrestris (buff-tailed bumblebee). RNAcentral describes it as "misc RNA ENSBTSG00005031487.1". The record is from RNAcentral. Lineage: Eukaryota; Metazoa; Arthropoda; Insecta; Hymenoptera; Apidae.
CACCUAAUUGCGGCACCGAAACGUACGUCUCACAGUCCACUAAAAAUUGGCCGGUUUGCACUGCACCAAGAGCCACGACUCGUUUUGUCAGGAAUUCGAUCGUUUGCGGUCCGGUUUUGUUUUCUGUCAUGGGAUAUUGCUGCAAACUGAUAAAUACAAAACGCCGGUUACUAGCGAGAAUUCACCGGGCUACACAACACGAAACACUUGUCAAAUGGAGAGAACGCGCGCAACUUAAAUGAAGUCUUGACGAUAUUUCGCGACGAACGGCAGAUGGCGCUGUAUGUAUGGAACAUGGCGACCUCUAAACUGGAAAGAAAUAAAACUCUACGUAUUGAGAUAUGGUAUGCAUCGAAC